Molecule: non-coding RNA, 106 nt
Organism: Moniliophthora roreri
Lineage: Eukaryota; Fungi; Basidiomycota; Agaricomycetes; Agaricales; Marasmiaceae
Source: Rfam
GCUGGGAUGGCCGAGUCGUUAAGGCGAGUGAUUUGAAUCGCUGGAAAAGGAAUGAUUCAGCAUCACUUGGUGUUUCACCGCGUAGGUUCAAAUCCUGCUCCCAGCG